AGUCGGUCCCCUCGCGGCGAUAAAUUACAAACCCCGCCAGGCCCGGAAGGGAGCAACGGUAGUAAUGGACUCGAGCGCCGAGGUGUGGCUGAUUUGG
Molecule: signal recognition particle RNA, 97 nt
Filed under: Coxiellaceae bacterium
Lineage: Bacteria; Pseudomonadati; Pseudomonadota; Gammaproteobacteria; Legionellales; Coxiellaceae
Description: signal recognition particle sRNA small type
Rfam family: Bacterial small signal recognition particle RNA
About the family: The signal recognition particle (SRP) is a universally conserved ribonucleoprotein involved in the co-translational targeting of proteins to membranes. Archaeal SRP consists of a 7S RNA and homologues of the eukaryotic SRP19 and SRP54 proteins.
Source: RNAcentral